UACGGGGGGAGCAAGCGUUGUUCGGAUUUACUGGGCGUAAAGGGCGCGUAGGCGGUCAGCACAAGUCAGUUGUGAAAUCUCCGAGCUUAACUCGGAAAGGUCAACUGAUACUGUGCGACUAGAGUGCAGAAGGGGCAACUGGAAUUCUUGGUGUAGCGGUGAAAUGCGUAGAUAUCAGGAGGAACACCGGUGGCGAAGGCGGAUCUCUGGGCCAUUACUGACGCUGAGGAGCGAAAGCGUGGGGAGCGAACAGG
This 254-nucleotide ribosomal RNA is filed under the name uncultured bacterium. RNAcentral's name for it is "partial 16S ribosomal RNA". It matches the Rfam family "Bacterial small subunit ribosomal RNA", at positions 524 to 776 of the family's 1533-position model. The record is from RNAcentral.